GACGAUUGAGAGCGAGCGUCCGGCAAUGGCGAUCCCGAGGAAUCGGCCACCGCUCGCCGCCGCCGCCGCCGCCAUCGCGCUUCUCAUCUCGAUCGCCUCGGCGGAGGUCUUCUUCGAGGAGCGAUUUGAAGAUGGAUGGGAAAGCCGGUGGGUUAAGUCUGACUGGAAGAAGGAAGAGAACAUGGCCGGUGAUUGGAACCAUACGUCUGGGAAAUGGAAUGGAGAUCCAGAAGACAAAGGUAUUCAAACCACUGAGGACUAUAGGUUCUAUGCAAUCUCGGCUGAGUUCCCUGGGUUCAGCAACAAGGAUAAGACUCUUGUGUUCCAGUUCUCUGUUAAGCACGAACAGAAGCUUGACUGUGGUGGUGGUUACAUGAAGCUGCUCAGUGGUGAUGUUGAUCAGAAGACAUUCAGCGGGGAGACCCCCUAUAGUAUCAUGUUUGGACCGGAUAUUUGCGGGUACAGCACCAAGAAGGUUCAUGCCAUUCUUACACGCAAUGGUGUGAAUCACUUGAUCAAGAAAGACGUUCCAUGUGAAACGGACCAACUAACUCAUGUCUACACCUUCAUCAUCCGCCCGGAUGCUACUUAUAGCAUCCUUGUUGAUAACACUGAGAAGCAAACAGGAAGCAUAUACAGUGAAUGGGAUAUUCUUCCUCCAAAGAAAAUCAAGGAUCCCGAGGCAAAGAAGCCUGAGGACUGGGAUGACAAGGAGUUCAUUCCGGAUCCCGAGGAUACUAAACCCGAGGGCUAUGACGAUAUUCCCAAGGAAAUUACUGAUACUGAUGCUAAGAAGCCGGAAGACUGGGAUGAUGAAGAAGAUGGU
This 826-nucleotide unclassified non-coding RNA is filed under the name Hevea brasiliensis (rubber tree). Lineage: Eukaryota; Viridiplantae; Streptophyta; Magnoliopsida; Malpighiales; Euphorbiaceae. The record is from RNAcentral.